AUCCCUUGGUCUGGGUGAAAUCUCACCUAGAUACUCGUUAACUCCAGCCGACGGCAAGAAGAAAUCCACGUUGCCAUGUGGAUUUAGAGCAGAAAAUCGUCGUUCGCCUCGAGAUCCUUGGAGUUUCUCUUCGCCAUUAGGACCAGUCAUCUGUAAUAUCUCCUUAAUCUUCAAAGCUUUGAUGCCUAAGGGUCAAUUGCUCACCUCGAUCCCACUCGGGAGUCGGAAGAUACCGGGCCUAUUACCGGACCUUAUAUCAUUGCCCCCACCCCCUCCAAGUAUGGCGGGUAUAUAUCUUGAGAUAGAACUAAUGCUAUCUGCGACAGGAGCAUAAAAGGGAGCUGUCAUGGACAUUAUGGCGAGAGGGGGCCUUUGAGAUGCUAAUUGGGAGUCGACAGCUGCAUUCAGUUGAUAGCUACAAAAUAAACGAGUGCGUUUAGCAAUGGAAAGGCGAGACCAUGUGAAGUGACCGAAACAGUACAUACGCGAUAGGGUCCGUAUGGUAGAAGACAUUGUAAAGGCUGAGAAGGAGUUAGUAUAAAAUAAGCAAGAGGUUGACGAUGACGCACGAAUCUAUAG
Molecule: small RNA, 579 nt
Filed under: Cryptococcus neoformans H99
Lineage: Eukaryota; Fungi; Basidiomycota; Tremellomycetes; Tremellales; Cryptococcaceae
Description: Cryptococcus neoformans var. grubii H99 hypothetical RNA
Source: RNAcentral